GGGACACGUGGUAUCCUGUCUGAAUAUGGGGGGACCAUCCUCCAAGGCUAAAUACUCCUGACUGACCGAUAGUGAACCAGUACCGUGAGGGAAAGGCGAAAAGAACCCCGGCGAGGGGAGUGAAAAAGAACCUGAAACCGUGUACGUACAAGCAGUGGGAGCACGCUUAGGCGUGUGACUGCGUACCUUUUGUAUAAUGGGUCAGCGACUUAUAUUCUGUAGCAAGGUUAACCGAAUAGGGGAGCCGAAGGGAAACCGAGUCUUAACUGGGCGUUAAGUUGCAGGGUAUAGACCCGAAACCCGGUGAUCUAGCCAUGGGCAGGUUGAAGGUUGGGUAACACUAACUGGAGGACCGAACCGACUAAUGUUGAAAAAUUAGCGGAUGACUUGUGGCUGGGGGUGAAAGGCCAAUCAAACCGGGAGAUAGCUGGUUCUCCCCGAAAGCUAUUUAGGUAGCGCCUCGUGAAUUCAUCUCCGGGGGUAGAGCACUGUUUCGGCAAGGGGGUCAUCCCGACUUACCAACCCGAUGCAAACUGCGAAUACCGGAGAAUGUUAUCACGGGAGACACACGGCGGGUGCUAACGUCCGUCGUGAAGAGGGAAACAACCCAGACCGCCAGCUAAGGUCCCAAAGUCAUGGUUAAGUGGGAAACGAUGUGGGAAGGCCCAGACAGCCAGGAUGUUGGCUUAGAAGCAGCCAUCAUUUAAAGAAAGCGUAAUAGCUCACUGGUCGAGUCGGCCUGCGCGGAAGAUGUAACGGGGCUAAACCAUGCACCGAAGCUGCGGCAGCGACGCUUAUGCGUUGUUGGGUAGGGGAGCGUUCUGUAAGCCUGUGAAGGUGUGCUGUGAGGCAUGCUGGAGGUAUCAGAAGUGCGAAUGCUGACAUAAGUAACGAUAAAGCGGGUGAAAAGCCCGCUCGCCGGAAGACCAAGGGUUCCUGUCCAACGUUAAUCGGGGCAGGGUGAGUCGACCCCUAAGGCGAGGCCGAAAGGCGUAGUCGAUGGGAAACAGGUUAAUAUUCCUGUACUUGGUGUUACUGCGAAGGGGGGACGGAGAAGGCUAUGUUGGCCGGGCGACGGUUGUCCCGGUUUAAGCGUGUAGGCUGGUUUUCCAGGCAAAUCCGGAAAAUCAAGGCUGAGGCGUGAUGACGAGGCACUACGGUGCUGAAGCAACAAAUGCCCUGCUUCCAGGAAAAGCCUCUAAGCAUCAGGUAACAUCAAAUCGUACCCCAAACCGACACAGGUGGUCAGGUAGAGAAUACCAAGGCGCUUGAGAGAACUCGGGUGAAGGAACUAGGCAAAAUGGUGCCGUAACUUCGGGAGAAGGCACGCUGAUAUGUAGGUGAAGCGACUUGCUCGUGGAGCUGAAAUCAGUCGAAGAUACCAGCUGGCUGCAACUGUUUAUUAAAAACACAGCACUGUGCAAACACGAAAGUGGACGUAUACGGUGUGACGCCUGCCCGGUGCCGGAAGGUUAAUUGAUGGGGUCAGCGCAAGCGAAGCUCUUGAUCGAAGCCCCGGUAAACGGCGGCCGUAACUAUAACGGUCCUAAGGUAGCGAAAUUCCUUGUCGGGUAAGUUCCGACCUGCACGAAUGGCGUAAUGAUGGCCAGGCUGUCUCCACCCGAGACUCAGUGAAAUUGAACUCGCUGUGAAGAUGCAGUGUACCCGCGGCAAGACGGAAAGACCCCGUGAACCUUUACUAUAGCUUGACACUGAACAUUGAGCCUUGAUGUGUAGGAUAGGUGGGAGGCUUAGAAGUGUGGACGCCAGUCUGCAUGGAGCCGACCUUGAAAUACCACCCUUUAAUGUUUGAUGUUCUAACGUUGACCCGUAAUCCGGGUUGCGGACAGUGUCUGGUGGGUAGUUUGACUGGGGCGGUCUCCUCCUAAAGAGUAACGGAGGAGCACGAAGGUUGGCUAAUCCUGGUCGGACAUCAGGAGGUUAGUGCAAUGGCAUAAGCCAGCUUGACUGCGAGCGUGACGGCGCGAGCAGGUGCGAAAGCAGGUCAUAGUGAUCCGGUGGUUCUGAAUGGAAGGGCCAUCGCUCAACGGAUAAAAGGUACUCCGGGGAUAACAGGCUGAUACCGCCCAAGAGUUCAUAUCGACGGCGGUGUUUGGCACCUCGAUGUCGGCUCAUCACAUCCUGGGGCUGAAGUAGGUCCCAAGGGUAUGGCUGUUCGCCAUUUAAAGUGGUACGCGAGCUGGGUUUAGAACGUCGUGAGACAGUUCGGUCCCUAUCUGCCGUGGGCGCUGGAGAACUGAGGGGGGCUGCUCCUAGUACGAGAGGACCGGAGUGGACGCAUCACUGGUGUUCGGGUUGUCAUGCCAAUGGCACUGCCCGGUAGCUAAAUGCGGAAGAGAUAAGUGCUGAAAGCAUCUAAGCACGAAACUUGCCCCGAGAUGAGUUCUCCCUGACUCCUUGAGAGUCCUGAAGGAACGUUGAAGACGACGACGUUGAUAGGCCGGGUGUGUAAGCGCAGCGAUGCGUUGAGCUAACCGGUACUAAUGAACCGUGAGGCUUAACCUUACAAC
Molecule: ribosomal RNA, 2531 nt
Filed under: Escherichia coli
Lineage: Bacteria; Pseudomonadati; Pseudomonadota; Gammaproteobacteria; Enterobacterales; Enterobacteriaceae
Description: partial 23S ribosomal RNA
Rfam family: Bacterial large subunit ribosomal RNA
Source: RNAcentral